AGUGAACGCUGGCGGUAGGCCUAACACAUGCAAGUCGAACGGCAGCACAGUAAGAGCUUGCUCUUACGGGUGGCGAGUGGCGGACGGGUGAGGAAUACAUCGGAAUCUACUUUUUCGUGGGGGAUAACGUAGGAAAGCUUACGCUAAUACCGCAUACGACCUACGGGUGAAAGCAGGGGAUCUUCGGACCUUGCGCGAUUGAAUGAGCCGAUGUCGGAUUAGCUAGUUGGCGGGGUAAAGGCCCACCAAGGCGACGAUCCGUAGCUGGUCUGAGAGGAUGAUCAGCCACACUGGAACUGAGACACGGUCCAGACUCCUACGGGAGGCAGCAGUGGGGAAUAUUGGACAAUGGGCGCAAGCCUGAUCCAGCCAUACCGCGUGGGUGAAGAAGGCCUUCGGGUUGUAAAGCCCUUUUGUUGGGAAAGAAAAGCAGCAGGUUAAUACCCCGCUGUUCUGACGGUACCCAAAGAAUAAGCACCGGCUAACUUCGUG
Molecule: ribosomal RNA, 492 nt
Filed under: uncultured bacterium
Lineage: Bacteria
Description: partial 16S ribosomal RNA
Rfam family: Bacterial small subunit ribosomal RNA
Source: RNAcentral